This 280-nucleotide small RNA is filed under the name Vigna angularis var. angularis. RNAcentral describes it as "Non-protein coding transcript". Lineage: Eukaryota; Viridiplantae; Streptophyta; Magnoliopsida; Fabales; Fabaceae. The record is from RNAcentral.
AAUCAGAGAAACAUUGAACGGAGGAAUAACACUUGCUGGGGUGACCGAGGCUGAUGUUAAGACAAAAGAUGAAAUGGCAUCGUAUCUCUCAAGUGGUUCAUUGUCACGCGCCACUGGGAGUACCAAUAUGAAUAGUCAAUCAAGUCGUUCACAUGCUAUCUUCACAAUCUCAAUGGAACAAAAGAAUGGUGACGACAUCUUAUGCGCCAAGCUCCAUUUGGUUGAUCUAGCUGGUUCUGAACGAGUGAAACGAACUGGUGCCGAUGGCUUGCGUUUAAAA